CAUGGGGAGGUAAUUUCUCCUAAGGCUAAAUAUCGGCGAGAGACCGAUAGCGAACAAGUACCGUGAGGGAAAGAUGAAAAGCACUUUGAAAAGAGAGUUAAAUAGCACGUGAAAUUGUUGAAAGGGAAACGAUUGAAGCCAGUCGUACCUUCGGGUAAUCAACCUUUCGGGAUGCGAUUCUGUGGAGUUUGAGGAGCUUAACGCCCUCCGGGUUUGCAUAUUCGUACUCCUUGGGUGUGUACUUCCCCUGUGGUAGGUAAACAUCCUAGUCCGCAUAAAAUGAUGGGAGGAUUAGCUUCGAUUGG
This 305-nucleotide ribosomal RNA is filed under the name uncultured Glomeromycotina. Its description in RNAcentral is "partial large subunit ribosomal RNA". It matches the Rfam family "Eukaryotic large subunit ribosomal RNA", at positions 289 to 603 of the family's 3401-position model. The record is from RNAcentral. Lineage: Eukaryota; Fungi; Glomeromycota.